Molecule: ribosomal RNA, 440 nt
Filed under: uncultured bacterium
Lineage: Bacteria
Description: partial 16S ribosomal RNA
Rfam family: Bacterial small subunit ribosomal RNA
Source: RNAcentral
CCUACGGGUGGCAGCAGUGGGGAAUAUUGCACAAUGGGGGAAACCCUGAUGCAGCGACGCCGCGUGAGUGAAGAAGUAAUUCGUUAUGUAAAGCUCUAUCAGCAGGGAAGAAAAUGACGGUACCUGAGUAAGAAGCACCGGCUAAAUACGUGCCAGCAGCCGCGGUAAUACGUAUGGUGCAAGCGUUAUUCGGAUUUACUGGGUGUAAAGGGAGCGCAGGCGGGACGGCAAGCCUGAUGUGAAAGCCCGGGGCCCAACCGCGGGACUGCAUUGGAUACUACCGGGCUAGAGUGCCGGAGAGGUAGGCGGAAUGCCUAGUGUAGCGGUGGAAUGCGUAGAUAUUAGGAAGAACACCAGUGGCGAAGGCAGCCUACUGGACGGUGACUGACGCUGAGGCACGAAAGCGUGGGGAGCAAACAGGAUUAGAUACCCGUGUAGUC